Molecule: small RNA, 129 nt
Filed under: Serratia sp. OS31
Lineage: Bacteria; Pseudomonadati; Pseudomonadota; Gammaproteobacteria; Enterobacterales; Yersiniaceae
Description: RtT sRNA
Rfam family: RtT RNA
About the family: This family represents a bacterial cis-regulatory element known as RtT RNA. The exact function of RtT is unknown although it is thought that it may be involved in changing the cellular response in relation to amino acid starvation.
Source: RNAcentral
AACUCCGCCGUGUCGUGCUGGAUGAGAACCUGUGCAGGUUCGACAAAAUUGGCCCGACAAUUUUGAACAGCGCUUGCGCUGGCCCGCAGGGUGAGGCCAGAGGCCGAGUUACUCCUGCACGACCCACCA